RNAcentral lists this ribosomal RNA (685 nucleotides) under uncultured bacterium. Its description in RNAcentral is "bacterial SSU rRNA". It matches the Rfam family "Bacterial small subunit ribosomal RNA", at positions 755 to 1441 of the family's 1533-position model. The record is from RNAcentral.
GAAAGCGUGGGUAGCAANCAGGAUUAGAUACCCUGGUAGUNCACGCCCUAGACGAUGUCAAUUAGCUGUUGGGGCACUUGAUGCCUUAGUAGCGAAGCUAACGCGUGAAAUUGACCGCCUGGGGAGUACGGUCGCAAGAUUAAAACUCAAAGGAAUUGACGGGGACCCGCACAAGCGGUGGAUGAUGUGGAUUAAUUCGAUGCAACGCGAAGAACCUUACCUGGUCUUGACAUGUACGGAAUCUUCCAGAGACGGAAGAGUGCCUUCGGGAGCCGUAACACAGGUGCUGCAUGGCUGUCGUCAGCUCGUGUCGUGAGAUGUUGGGUUAAGUCCCGCAACGAGCGCAACCCUUGUCAUUAGUUGCCACCAUUCAGAUGGGCACUCUAAUGAGACUGCCGGUGACAAACCGGAGGAAGGUGGGGAUGACGUCAAGUCCUCAUGGCCCUUAUGACCAGGGCUUCACACGUCAUACAAUGGUCGGUACAGAGGGUAGCCAAGCCGCGAGGUGGAGCCAAUCUCAGAAAACCGAUCGUAGUCCGGAUUGCACUCUGCAACUCGAGUGCAUGAAGUCGGAAUCGCUAGUAAUCGCAGGUCAGCAUACUGCGGUGAAUACGUUCCCGGGUCUUGUACACACCGCCCGUCACACCAUGGGAGUGGGGGAUACCAGAAGUAGGUAGGCUAACCG